Molecule: long non-coding RNA, 276 nt
Filed under: Cyanistes caeruleus (blue tit)
Lineage: Eukaryota; Metazoa; Chordata; Aves; Passeriformes; Paridae
Description: lncRNA (ENSCCEG00000002809.1)
Source: RNAcentral
GAAGGCUACGUUAUUAUUUCCAAAGUAAAACAUAAGACAGAAGCUUUGAGAUGAAAACUGCAAAUUUGUUGCUGGGCAAGUAAAUCUACAGCAGGUCAGGUACUUCUAUACCGUGUGACAAACUGUUGGAUGGAUGCCCAAAGCAGCUCUGGAAAGCUAGUAUGUCUAAACUGUCAGUUCAGAAAACAAAUGUAUUACAGCCUGGAGCAAACUUCACAUUUUCUGAGGCAAAGGGAGAAGAGGCAUGUACCAGCUGCUGAGCAAAAGAAGGUGAUG